UACGGAGGGUGCAAGCGUUGUCCGGAUUUAUUGGGUUUAAAGGGUGCGUAGGCGGCCCCUUAAGUCAGUGGUGAAAGCCCGCGGCUCAACCGCGGAACUGCCAUUGAUACUGGGGGGCUUGAGUACAGACGAGGUAGGCGGAAUUGAAGAUGUAGCGGUGAAAUGCUUAGAUAUCUUCAAGAACCCCGAUUGCGUAGGCAGCUUACUAGGCUGUAACUGACGCUGAGGCACGAAAGCGUGGGGAGCGAACAGG
This 253-nucleotide non-coding RNA is filed under the name uncultured bacterium. RNAcentral's name for it is "partial 16S ribosomal RNA". It matches the Rfam family "Bacterial small subunit ribosomal RNA", at positions 524 to 776 of the family's 1533-position model. The record is from RNAcentral. RNAcentral also lists the same sequence under 1 other name.